CCCGCUGGAUGUACUAGCCAAACACUGAGAAGUGGAUGGUCUAGACAUCUCUGUCUUCUGAAGAUGAUAGAGUUCGUUGUGAACGUGCCCCUUUCCAUUCACUUGGCCUGUCUUUAAGUCUUGAAAUUCAACCUCAUCUGGUCUGAAGACAGCCUGACAACUCAGAUCAACAGUAGCCUUUCUCACAGAUAGCAGGUUUGAUGUAAAUUGAGGCAUAUACAAGGCAGUAGAUUUCCU
Molecule: long non-coding RNA, 237 nt
Filed under: Brassica napus (rape)
Lineage: Eukaryota; Viridiplantae; Streptophyta; Magnoliopsida; Brassicales; Brassicaceae
Description: long non-coding RNA (BNAP_LNC013747)
Source: RNAcentral